RNAcentral lists this ribosomal RNA (301 nucleotides) under uncultured bacterium. Its description in RNAcentral is "partial 16S ribosomal RNA". It matches the Rfam family "Bacterial small subunit ribosomal RNA", at positions 509 to 809 of the family's 1533-position model. The record is from RNAcentral.
CAGCCGCCACGGUAAUACGUAGGUGGCAAGCGUUGUCCGGAAUUAUUGGGCGUAAAGCGCGCGCAGGCGGAUAGGUCAGUCUGACUUAAAAGUUCGGGGCUUAACCCCGUGAUGGGAUGGAAACUGCCAAUCUAGAGUAUCGGAGAGGAAAGUGGAAUUCCUAGUGUAGCGGUGAAAUGCGUAGAUAUUAGGAAGAACACCAGUGGCGAAGGCGACUUUCUGGACGAAAACUGACGCUGAGGCGCGAAAGCCAGGGGGGCGAACGGGAUUAGAUACCCGCGUAGUCCCUGUCUCUUAUCAC